Molecule: ribosomal RNA, 497 nt
Filed under: uncultured bacterium
Lineage: Bacteria
Description: partial 16S ribosomal RNA
Rfam family: Bacterial small subunit ribosomal RNA
Source: RNAcentral
AAUGAACGCUGGCGGCAUGCCUAAUACAUGCAAGUCGAGCGAACAGACGAGGAUCUUGCUCCUAUGCCGUUGGCGGCGGACGGGUGAGUAACACGUGGAUACCCUACAUAUAAGACUGACAUAACUUCGUGAAACCGAAGCUCAUAUCGGAUAAUAUAUAGAACCGCAUGGUUCAAUAGUGAAAGACGGUUUUGCUGUCACUUUUACAUGGAACCGCGCCGCAUUAGCUAGGUGGUAAGGUAACGGCUUACCAAGGCGACGAUGCGUAGCCGACCUGAGAGGGUGAUCGGCCACACUGGAACUGAGACACGGUCCAGACUCCUACGGGAGGCAGCAGUAGGGAAUCUUCCGCAAUGGGCGAAAGCCUGACGGAGCAACGCCGCGUGAGUGAUGAAGGUCUUCGGAUCGUAAAACUCUGUUAUUAGGGAAGAACAAAUGUGUAAGUAACUAUGCACGUCUUGACGGUACCUAAUCAGAAAGCCACGGCUAACUACGUG